UUAAGCGACUAAGCGUACACGGUGGAUGCCCUGGCAGUCAGAGGCGAUGAAGGACGUGCUAAUCUGCGAUAAGCGUCGGUAAGGUGAUAUGAACCGUUAUAACCGGCGAUUUCCGAAUGGGGAAACCCAGUGUGAUUCGUCACACUAUCAUUAACUGAAUCCAUAGGUUAAUGAGGCGAACCGGGGGAACUGAAACAUCUAAGUACCCCGAGGAAAAGAAAUCAACCGAGAUUCCCCCAGUAGCGGCGAGCGAACGGGGAGCAGCCCAGAGCCUGAAUCAGUGUGUGUGUUAGUGGAAGCGUCUGGAAAGGCGCGCGAUACAGGGUGACAGCCCCGUACACAAAAAUGCACAUGCUGUGAGCUCGAUGAGUAGGGCGGGACACGUGGUAUCCUGUCUGAAUAUGGGGGGACCAUCCUCCAAGGCUAAAUACUCCUGACUGACCGAUAGUGAACCAGUACCGUGAGGGAAAGGCGAAAAGAACCCCGGCGAGGGGAGUGAAAAAGAACCUGAAACCGUGUACGUACAAGCAGUGGGAGCACGCUUAGGCGUGUGACUGCGUACCUUUUGUAUAAUGGGUCAGCGACUUAUAUUCUGUAGCAAGGUUAACCGAAUAGGGGAGCCGAAGGGAAACCGAGUCUUAACUGGGCGUUAAGUUGCAGGGUAUAGACCCGAAACCCGGUGAUCUAGCCAUGGGCAGGUUGAAGGUUGGGUAACACUAACUGGAGGACCGAACCGACUAAUGUUGAAAAAUUAGCGGAUGACUUGUGGCUGGGGGUGAAAGGCCAAUCAAACCGGGAGAUAGCUGGUUCUCCCCGAAAGCUAUUUAGGUAGCGCCUCGUGAAUUCAUCUCCGGGGGUAGAGCACUGUUUCGGCAAGGGGGUCAUCCCGACUUACCAACCCGAUGCAAACUGCGAAUACCGGAGAAUGUUAUCACGGGAGACACACGGCGGGUGCUAACGUCCGUCGUGAAGAGGGAAACAACCCAGACCGCCAGCUAAGGUCCCAAAGUCAUGGUUAAGUGGGAAACGAUGUGGGAAGGCCCAGACAGCCAGGAUGUUGGCUUAGAAGCAGCCAUCAUUUAAAGAAAGCGUAAUAGCUCACUGGUCGAGUCGGCCUGCGCGGAAGAUGUAACGGGGCUAAACCAUGCACCGAAGCUGCGGCAGCGACGCUUAUGCGUUGUUGGGUAGGGGAGCGUUCUGUAAGCCUGUGAAGGUGUACUGUGAGGUAUGCUGGAGGUAUCAGAAGUGCGAAUGCUGACAUAAGUAACGAUAAAGCGGGUGAAAAGCCCGCUCGCCGGAAGACCAAGGGUUCCUGUCCAACGUUAAUCGGGGCAGGGUGAGUCGACCCCUAAGGCGAGGCCGAAAGGCGUAGUCGAUGGGAAACAGGUUAAUAUUCCUGUACUUGGUGUUACUGCGAAGGGGGGACGGAGAAGGCUAUGUUGGCCGGGCGACGGUUGUCCCGGUUUAAGCGUGUAGGCUGGUUUUCCAGGCAAAUCCGGAAAAUCAAGGCUGAGGCGUGAUGACGAGGCACUACGGUGCUGAAGCAACAAAUGCCCUGCUUCCAGGAAAAGCCUCUAAGCAUCAGGUAACAUCAAAUCGUACCCCAAACCGACACAGGUGGUCAGGUAGAGAAUACCAAGGCGCUUGAGAGAACUCGGGUGAAGGAACUAGGCAAAAUGGUGCCGUAACUUCGGGAGAAGGCACGCUGAUAUGUAGGUGAAGUCCCUCGCGGAUGGAGCUGAAAUCAGUCGAAGAUACCAGCUGGCUGCAACUGUUUAUUAAAAACACAGCACUGUGCAAACACGAAAGUGGACGUAUACGGUGUGACGCCUGCCCGGUGCCGGAAGGUUAAUUGAUGGGGUUAGCGCAAGCGAAGCUCUUGAUCGAAGCCCCGGUAAACGGCGGCCGUAACUAUAACGGUCCUAAGGUAGCGAAAUUCCUUGUCGGGUAAGUUCCGACCUGCACGAAUGGCGUAAUGAUGGCCAGGCUGUCUCCACCCGAGACUCAGUGAAAUUGAACUCGCUGUGAAGAUGCAGUGUACCCGCGGCAAGACGGAAAGACCCCGUGAACCUUUACUAUAGCUUGACACUGAACAUUGAGCCUUGAUGUGUAGGAUAGGUGGGAGGCUUUGAAGUGUGGACGCCAGUCUGCAUGGAGCCGACCUUGAAAUACCACCCUUUAAUGUUUGAUGUUCUAACGUUGACCCGUAAUCCGGGUUGCGGACAGUGUCUGGUGGGUAGUUUGACUGGGGCGGUCUCCUCCUAAAGAGUAACGGAGGAGCACGAAGGUUGGCUAAUCCUGGUCGGACAUCAGGAGGUUAGUGCAAUGGCAUAAGCCAGCUUGACUGCGAGCGUGACGGCGCGAGCAGGUGCGAAAGCAGGUCAUAGUGAUCCGGUGGUUCUGAAUGGAAGGGCCAUCGCUCAACGGAUAAAAGGUACUCCGGGGAUAACAGGCUGAUACCGCCCAAGAGUUCAUAUCGACGGCGGUGUUUGGCACCUCGAUGUCGGCUCAUCACAUCCUGGGGCUGAAGUAGGUCCCAAGGGUAUGGCUGUUCGCCAUUUAAAGUGGUACGCGAGCUGGGUUUAGAACGUCGUGAGACAGUUCGGUCCCUAUCUGCCGUGGGCGCUGGAGAACUGAGGGGGGCUGCUCCUAGUACGAGAGGACCGGAGUGGACGCAUCACUGGUGUUCGGGUUGUCAUGCCAAUGGCACUGCCCGGUAGCUAAAUGCGGAAGAGAUAAGUGCUGAAAGCAUCUAAGCACGAAACUUGCCCCGAGAUGAGUUCUCCCUGACUCCUUGAGAGUCCUGAAGGAACGUUGAAGACGACGACGUUGAUAGGCCGGGUGUGUAAGCGCAGCGAUGCGUUGAGCUAACCGGUACUAAUGAACCGUGAGGCUUAACCU
Molecule: ribosomal RNA, 2901 nt
Filed under: Escherichia coli
Lineage: Bacteria; Pseudomonadati; Pseudomonadota; Gammaproteobacteria; Enterobacterales; Enterobacteriaceae
Description: 23S ribosomal RNA
Rfam family: Bacterial large subunit ribosomal RNA
Source: RNAcentral